GUGAUGGAACAACAACUGCAUCUGUUCUUGCUCGGGAAAUCAUUAAACUCGGUCUGUUGAGUGUUACAUCUGGUGCAAAUCCAGUGUCUUUAAAGAGGGGCAUUGACAAAACUGUACUGGGUUUGAUUGAAGAGCUAGAAAAGAAGGCUAGACCUGUUAAAGGCCGUGACGACAUCAAAGCUAUUGCUUCAAUCUCUGCUGGAAAUGAUGAAAGCAUUGGUACCAUGAUUGCGGAUGCAAUUGACAAAGUUGGUCCAGAUGGUGUGUUGUCCAUUGAGUCAUCCUCCUCCUUAGAGACAACUGUUCAUGUUGAAGAAGGAAUGGAGAUCGAUAGAGGAUAUAUUUCCCCACAAUUUGUCACCAACCCUGAGAAAUUAAUUUCUGAAUUUGAGAAUGCUAGAGUCUUGGUUACUGAUCAGAAGAUUUCAGCUAUCAAGGACAUUAUCCCUCUAUUAGAAAAGACAACUCAGUUACGCGCCCCUCUCCUCAUUAUUGCCGAGGAUAUCACCGGGGAAGCUCUGGCCACUCUUGUUGUGAACAAGUUGCGGGGUAUACUGAAUGUUGCUGCCAUCAAAGCUCCU
RNAcentral lists this unclassified non-coding RNA (581 nucleotides) under Hevea brasiliensis (rubber tree). The record is from RNAcentral. Lineage: Eukaryota; Viridiplantae; Streptophyta; Magnoliopsida; Malpighiales; Euphorbiaceae.